UGGGGAAUCUUCCGCAAUGGACGAAAGUCUGACGGAGCAACGCCGCGUGAGUGAUGACGGUCUUCGGAUUGUAAAGCUCUGUUAAUCGGGACGAAUGGUUUGUGUGCAAAUAGUACAUAGACAUGACGGUACCGGAAUAGAAAGCGACGGCUAACUACGUGCCAGCAGCCGCGGUAAUACGUAGGUGGCAAGCGUUGUCCGGAAUUAUUGGGCGUAAAGCGCGCGCAGGCGGACUAGCCAGUCAGUCUUAAAAGUUCGGGGCUUAACCCCGUGAUGGGAUUGAAACUACUAGUCUAGAGUAUCGGAGAGGAAAGUGGAAUUCCUGGUGUAGCGGUGAAAUGCGUAGAUAUUAGGAAGAACACCAGUGGCGAAGGCGACUUUCUGGACGAACACUGACGCUGAGGCGCGAAAGCCAGGGGAGCGAACGGG
Molecule: ribosomal RNA, 429 nt
Filed under: Bacteroidota bacterium
Lineage: Bacteria; Pseudomonadati; Bacteroidota
Description: Bacteroidetes bacterium partial 16S ribosomal RNA
Rfam family: Bacterial small subunit ribosomal RNA
Source: RNAcentral